AGCAGCCGCGGUAAUUCCAGCUCCAAUAGCGUAUAUUAAAGUUGUUGCAGUUAAAAAGCUCGUAGUUGAAUUUCGGGAUCAUCAGGUUGGUCGUGCCUCUGGUAUGUACUUGCUUCGAUGGUCCCUCCUUCUUGAAGAACCGUAAUGCCAUUAAUUUGGUGUUGCGGGGAAACAGGACUGUUACUUUGAAAAAAUUAGAGUGUUUAAAGCAGGCAAUCGCUUGAAUACAUUAGCAUGGAAUAAUGAAAUAGGACGUUCGAUCCUAUUUUGUUGGUUUCUAGGAUUGACGUAAUGAUUAAUAGGGAUAGUUGGGGGCAUUAGUAUUCAAUUGUCAGAGGUGAAAUUCUUGGAUUUAUUGAAGACUAACUACUGCGAAAGCAUUUGCCAAGGAUGUUUUCAUUAAUCAAGAACGAAAGUUAGGGGAUCGAAGACGAUCAGAUACCGUCGUAGUCUUAACCAUAAACUAUGCCGACUAGGGAUCGGAUGAUGUUAAUUUUUAAUGACUCAUUCG
Molecule: ribosomal RNA, 511 nt
Filed under: uncultured Glomus
Lineage: Eukaryota; Fungi; Glomeromycota; Glomeromycetes; Glomerales; Glomeraceae
Description: SSU rRNA
Rfam family: Eukaryotic small subunit ribosomal RNA
Source: RNAcentral